GUUUAUGAUAUUGCAAAGUGUAGAGACAUAUAUAAGCCAAGGAUUGGCGAUUGUAAGAGAUUAAGUGAGUUAGGGGGUUUCCCCUCUCCUUCUCUAAUCUGAAACACUAAUCUUCAGUCUCUUAUUCUCUCAGUCUCUCUAGUCUCUUAAGUCUCUUAAUCUCUCUGUUCUUAAGUCUCUUAUACACUCUCACAAAUCUCUCUUCCUAAAUCACCUAGAACAAGCUCUAAUCAUUCUUCAUUGAAGCUUAUACACAC
This 257-nucleotide long non-coding RNA is filed under the name Brassica napus (rape). Its description in RNAcentral is "long non-coding RNA (BNAP_LNC025291)". Lineage: Eukaryota; Viridiplantae; Streptophyta; Magnoliopsida; Brassicales; Brassicaceae. The record is from RNAcentral.